Molecule: ribosomal RNA, 601 nt
Filed under: uncultured Bacilli bacterium
Lineage: Bacteria; Bacillati; Bacillota; Bacilli
Description: bacterial SSU rRNA
Rfam family: Bacterial small subunit ribosomal RNA
Source: RNAcentral
AGAACGCUGAAGGAGAAGCUUGCUUCUCUGGAUGAGUUGCGAACGGGUGAGUAACGCGUAGGUAACCUGCCUGGUAGCGGGGGAUAACUAUUGGAAACGAUAGCUAAUACCGCAUAAUAGUAGAUGUUGCAUGACAUUUGCUUAAAAGGUGCAAUUGCAUCACUACCAGAUGGACCUGCGUUGUGUUAGCUAGUUGGUGGGGUAACGGCUCACCAAGGCGACGAUACAUAGCCGACCUGAGAGGGUGAUCGGCCACACUGGGACUGAGACACGGCCCAGACUCCUACGGGAGGCAGCAGUAGGGAAUCUUCGGCAAUGGACGGAAGUCUGACCGAGCAACGCCGCGUGAGUGAAGAAGGUUUUCGGAUCGUAAAGCUCUGUUGUAAGAGAAGAACGAGUGUGAGAGUGGAAAGUUCACACUGUGACGGUAUCUUACCAGAAAGGGACGGCUAACUACGUGCCAGCAGCCGCGGUAAUACGUAGGUCCCGAGCGUUGUCCGGAUUUAUUGGGCGUAAAGCGAGCGCAGGCGGUUAGAUAAGUCUGAAGUUAAAGGCUGUGGCUUAACCAUAGUACGCUUUGGAAACUGUUUAACUUGAGUGC